UACGUAGGGAGCAAGCGUUGUUCGGAUUUACUGGGCGUAAAGGGCGCGUAGGCGGCGUGACAAGUCACUUGUGAAAUCUCCGGGCUUAACUCGGAACGGUCAAGUGAUACUGUUGUGCUAGAGUACAGAAGGGGCAAUCGGAAUUCUUGGUGUAGCGGUGAAAUGCGUAGAUAUCAAGAGGAACACCAGAGGCGAAGGCGGAUUGCUGGGCUGAUACUGACGCUGAGGCGCGAAAGCUAGGGUAGCAAACGGG
RNAcentral lists this ribosomal RNA (253 nucleotides) under uncultured bacterium. RNAcentral's name for it is "partial 16S ribosomal RNA". It matches the Rfam family "Bacterial small subunit ribosomal RNA", at positions 524 to 776 of the family's 1533-position model. The record is from RNAcentral.